Non-coding RNA from Pelobates cultripes (western spadefoot toad), 214 nucleotides. NCBI's taxonomy places the organism in Eukaryota, Metazoa, Chordata, Amphibia, Anura, Pelobatidae. The record is from the annotation of a GenBank genome assembly.
CCAGCUGCUUGUAUCAAGGUAUUUUGCUGGGCUGAACUGAUAAGGAACUACUGACUGUCCUUGAAGACAGGUAUAUAAGACUAAGGGAAUCUUGCGCUCCCUUGGAGAACUACCCACCUGUAAUGCGGAUGCGUGUUACUGGUUUCCGCUGUUCCCAGAAGAGAGGGUCUCUCCGAGUGACUGCCCGAAUUCCCCCAAGUCAUGUGUGGCAAGG